RNAcentral lists this ribosomal RNA (318 nucleotides) under Ruschia sp. RPDR-2013. RNAcentral describes it as "partial 12S ribosomal RNA". Lineage: Eukaryota; Metazoa; Arthropoda; Arachnida; Opiliones; Gonyleptidae. The record is from RNAcentral.
CCCUAGUAUAAAAAAAUAGAGAUUAGUAUAUAGAUGAAAAUUAAAAAUUUUGGCGGUUAAUUAUAAGUUAGAGGAGCUUGUUUAAAAUAAGAUUUUACUCUUUAAAUUUUAAUAUUAAUAUAAGUUUAUUCAUCUCUGUUAUUAAAAACAGUUAAAAUAAAAAUUUUUAGGAUUUCAGGUCAAGAUGUAAUUAGGUUUAAUAUAAUGAAUUAGCUACAAUUAAAAAAAUAUUGGAUAAUAAAAUGUAAAUUUUAUUUAAAAUUGAAUUUAGUGGUAAUAAAAUUUAGAAAGGUAUUAUGAUUUGAAAUUAUUAAUGUA